CAGUAGCCGCGGGAAUACGUAGGGUGCGAGCAUUAAUCGGAAUUACUGGGCGUAAAGCGUGCGCAGGCGGUUAUAUAAGACAGAUGUGAAAUCCCCGGGCUCAACCUGGGACCUGCAUUUGUGACUGUAUAGCUAGAGUACGGUAGAGGGGGAUGGAAUUCCGCGUGUAGCAGUGAAAUGCGUAGAUAUGCGGAGGAACACCGAUGGCGAAGGCAAUCCCCUGGACCUGUACUGACGCUCAUGCACGAAAGCGUGGGGAGCAAACAGGAUUAGAUACCCCAGUAGUCCCUGUCUCUUAUAC
RNAcentral lists this ribosomal RNA (301 nucleotides) under uncultured bacterium. RNAcentral describes it as "partial 16S ribosomal RNA". It matches the Rfam family "Bacterial small subunit ribosomal RNA", at positions 509 to 807 of the family's 1533-position model. The record is from RNAcentral.